UCCAGACUCCUACGGGAGGCAGCAGUGGGGAAUAUUGCGCAAUGGGGGAAACCCUGACGCAGCAACGCCGCGUGCGGGAUGACGGCCUUCGGGUUGUAAACCGCUUUCAGCAGGGAAGAACAUCGACGGUACCUGCAGAAGAAGCCCCGGCUAACUACGUGCCAGCAGCCGCGGUAAUACGUAGGGGGCGAGCGUUAUCCGGAUUCAUUGGGCGUAAAGCGCGCGUAGGCGGGUGCCUAAGCGGGGCCUCUAACCUCGGGGCUCAACCCCGAGCCGGGUCCCGAACUGGGCGUCUCGAGUGCGGUAGGGGAGAUCGGAAUUCCCGGUGUAGCGGUGGAAUGCGCAGAUAUCGGGAAGAACACCGAUGGCGAAGGCAGAUCUCUGGGCCGCCACUGACGCUGAGGCGCGAAAGCUAGGGGAGCGAACAGGAUUAGAUACCCCCGUAUAG
This 448-nucleotide ribosomal RNA is filed under the name uncultured bacterium. RNAcentral describes it as "bacterial SSU rRNA". It matches the Rfam family "Bacterial small subunit ribosomal RNA", at positions 330 to 793 of the family's 1533-position model. The record is from RNAcentral.